GUGAAUCAUCGAAUUUUUGAACGCAAAUUGCACUCUCCUCGGAGAGUAUGCCUGUUUGAGGGUCAGCCUAAAUAAAAUCGGCUUAGUUGCUGUGUUCCGCAGUAACGUUUGGUCGGAACUUGGGUCAUCUUAAACCGAAAGGUCUAAGCGACUUAAAAAUAAUAUAUUUACGAUCUUACGAACGUUUCUAAGAUUUUCUUUUACGUUCAAGGUCGAUUGCUUAUUAGACGUGACUAUCGUAUCGGAUCGCGUCCAUAAUAUUUUUUCUUUAACUGACCUCAGACAGGUAAGAGUACCCG
Molecule: unclassified non-coding RNA, 299 nt
Filed under: Glomus sp.
Lineage: Eukaryota; Fungi; Glomeromycota; Glomeromycetes; Glomerales; Glomeraceae
Description: partial contains 5.8S ribosomal RNA and internal transcribed spacer 2
Rfam family: 5.8S ribosomal RNA (bases 1-65)
Source: RNAcentral